This is a long non-coding RNA of Chrysemys picta bellii (western painted turtle), 1126 nucleotides long. RefSeq lists it as uncharacterized. The record is from RefSeq and is a predicted model, not a curated record. Lineage: Eukaryota; Metazoa; Chordata; Testudines; Emydidae.
AGGACUUAAGCUACAGGAGUAACAACAAUAGUUGGCAGCAGGAGAAGGCUGUUUUCCCAUAGCAGGCGUGAUGGGGUUUUGGCUCUGGGUUCUGGGAUCAGGAAGUGGUCGGAGCUAUUGCACCUGGAGUCAACUGAUAGAUGUUUGAUUACUUCUGGAUGAUUCCCUCCUUCACAUUCAGCUUCCAAACUGGCCGCAAUCUCGAUUUGAAGGGGGAGGAGAUCAACAUUGGAGAUGUGUGGCUUCUGGGGACUUCUUUCUCCUUCGCUACCAUGAGUAGACUUAGGAAAGGCCUUUGCAUUCCUCCCCACCCAGGAGCAGCCUGAGGAGGAAGAAGUGGAGUGCCAAGACUUUUUGUAGCAGAACCCAAUACAUUUCACGUUAAAGCUGAACGUUUGAACCCACAGCGUGUGAUGUAAUGGAGGAUGAGUCUUUUUCAGCUGUGAAGGUGAAGAUGCGUUUCCCAGCAGUGUAUAUCAGGGUGUCACUGAUGUGGGGGGUGGGAGGGGGCAGAAAGAGGAUUAAAUUCUGCUGUCCCACUGCAAGGCAAAGCUGCUGGUUUUAGUACUUCAACAUACGUACCUGUAAAAUCCAGCCCUGAAGAAUCUGACUGAAGGGACCUAAAGAAACAAAAUAUAGGAACAUGGGGGGGAAACCCAAGCAGGCCAUGUACUUUUAGCCCUAGAUGUUAUAGGGAUAUGAAAACAGCUUAGGAGACAAUCAGAAAUAACCCGAAUCUUCACCACAAACCCAAACCAGAAACGAUCAGCACCCUCAGAAAACGUUCUGUUCCUAUAAAAAUGUAUUUUCCAUUUCCACUUGCCUCUGGAAUUCCCAUUUCCACCUGGAAGCUGAAAUGCAAACGCUCUGUGGGGAAUGCCUCUGGAGCGUGUUCCUCAGCUAUGUGAACUGUUUGGCCUACAGUUUCCUUUCCGCCCCCAAAUGGACAAUGCACUGAGGCCCAGCUCCUCAAAGGUCUUUAGGUGCUUCACUCCUGUAGGAGGCACCUGAAUACCUUUUAAAUGACAUAGGUGGUUUCACUGAACUGUGCUUUUGGUAAAGUUUUGAGGGUUACCACACAGUUCCUUGUUUUGUCCUUGAGCAGGGCUCUGCUGUUACGAUACAG